RNAcentral lists this long non-coding RNA (1963 nucleotides) under Theobroma cacao (cacao). Its description in RNAcentral is "long non-coding RNA (TCAC_LNC001227)". The record is from RNAcentral. Lineage: Eukaryota; Viridiplantae; Streptophyta; Magnoliopsida; Malvales; Malvaceae.
UGGUUGAGGGGAGAAGUUUUUGGGUGGUUGCUGCUGGUUUGAGGAGAGAAUUCCUUGGAUGGUUGCAGCCGAUUUUGAGGGGAAAAAUAGAGAAGAGAGGAAGCCAUUUAUGGAGCAAAAUAAAAUGAGGAAAAGAGCUGAUUUUUGAGAGAGGAACGAGAGGCCUUAUGUUGUCAAUUUUUGAGAGGAAAAAGAGACCUUUUGCUGCUGGAUUUUUGGGAAGGAAAAAAGAGAGGAAGCUGGGCUGUUAUCGUGACUGGCGGUGAGAGUGAAAGUAGAAAGCUUGCUGCCGACGUUGGAAGUGAAAGAGGAAGGAGGAAGGAUGAAAGCUGCAGCAAAAAAGGUGAGAAAGAGAUCAGGUGAAGGAAAGGUAAUGGGUGCAUAAAAGGAAAAAAUAUAUAUAAUAAUAAAAUAAAAUAAAAUAUAUAUAUAUUAAGUGGGUUUCAAUAUUUAAGAGAAAUAAGUAAAGGUGGUACAUUAUGGUGGCAGGCCGAAGGAAAUAACGAGCGACCGACAAGAAGGAAUAAGUAGAUACGUCUUCGAAUUAAUAGCGAUGUAGUGUCUCGCUAUUCUGAGGUGAGUAGGGGAUGUCAAUUUUAAAAUUCCCAUAAUAGUGUAAAUGUACGUAUAUUUUAUUUUAGAUGUAAAAUUAUGGAUAGCAUGUGUUGGUAGAAAUUUUAAGGAAUUGUGAAUGCAAAUUAUUUUUCAAAAAUUGUUUUGAAUAUAUAUGUAGAAAUUAUAUGUAAAGUGUUUUGAAAAUCGGGAAAUAAGCCCUUCGCACUAUUUUGCCUCAAAAUCUGUGCCUUAUAUUUGUGCAGUGUGCAUUCAUGGUUAUAUUUCUUAUUCACCAUGCAAAUUAUUGUUUUGAAAUUCAUGCAUAAAUAUAUUUUGAGAAAAUGAUAGAUUUUAUCAUACCCUAUGUUGAAUGCUUUGGAAAAUAAUUUUGAGACGAGCUUUUAAGGACAUAACACAAUUUUAAAAUAGUUUUACAAACCGAGAGAUUUGAGAGUAGGCCGGUUGUCACUUUGGUUAAGUGUGACCCUGUGCACGAGUGAGCUCUAGCUAGAGGACCUUUGGAUCGUCGACAGGCGGUUAGGCGUGGUGGGGACCACUACCUGUGAUAUAUGUAUGUGUGGCUAGGCCACCACAUGAUUAUGCGGUUGCGACCUCUUGAUUCUCCAAUGUCAGCUAACAUCGUUGAGACUGCCAUGGCAUGUGGGAUCCGAUGGAGCAAGGCUCCCGAAGGUUAUUACGUGGUAUCGGGACCACAAAUUUUAUUUGAUUUCCUACUCGAGACAAAAAUCUCUUUAAGUUUUCAGACUCUUACUCCCUGCAUGGUGAAAAUGAAAUUAUGUGGUUUCUUGCAGCUUCCCCUAGUUUUACUGUUAUAUGAAUUUUACCCUCGUGUGCGAGACGAUUUGCGAACUGUGUAUAAACCUGGUUACUAUUUGGUUUCGCAGGAGCUGACCCAACUUUAUUGAUUUGAUUUGAGUAUUACAUGAGAUAACUUCGACUGUAAAGAUCUUUUACGAACACGAGGUUUAAAAUGAUAUUUUACUGAUUUAGUUUGAAAAUGUUUAUUAACCUUCUCACUGCACAAAAGUUUACUUACUUGAUUUGAUAUACAUUAUGGUUGAUUACGACUUACAAGAGAUUCUCGAUAUUUUUUUAUAUAUAUAUAAUUCACAAAUCUCCGUUUGAAUUAAAUAUUUUUAUCUACUCUUGCAAGUUUUAUUAUUCAAAAUCUCAACCUUAUUGCUUGUUUCCCAUCUAUCCUCUACUCACAGAGCUGAUGAUCACUGAGUCUAUGAGACUCACACCCCUCUUUUUCUCCUUUUUACAGACAGGGAUAGGCCUAACGUGUAAUCAUUGGCGUAUAUGGUCCAUCGCAAAUAGGUAAAGGCAUCUCAUAGCAUUUUAUUCUGAGUCACUCCACUGUUAGAGGGCGAGUCGUAGCACUAUA